UAAGAGGUCCCGCCUGCCCUGUGACUACAUGUUUAACGGCCGCGGUAUUUUGACCGUGCAAAGGUAGCGCAAUCACUUGUCUUUUAAAUGGAGACCUGUAUGAAUGGCAUUACGAGGGCUUAACUGUCUCCCUUUUCAAGUCAAUGAAAUUGAUCUCCCCGUGCAGAAGCGGGGAUUCUCCCACAAGACGAGAAGACCCUAUGAAGCUUUAGACACUAAGGUAGUCUACGCCAAAAAACCUCCCUUAAGAGACCGAGCCUAAUAGCAUUCUACCCGACUGUCUUUGGUUGGGGCGACCACGGGGGAAAACCAAGCCCCCACGCAGAACGGGGCAAUUCCUGUCCUAAAGCCCAGAGCCCCCGCUCCAAGCAACAAAAUCUCUUUGACUUUCCAGAUCCGGCAUGGCCGAUCUACGGACCGAGUUACUCUAGGGAUAACAGCGCAAUCUCCUUUCAGAGCCCCUAUCGACAAGGAGGUUUACGACCUCGAUGUUGGAUCAGGACAUCCUAAUGGUGCAGCCGCUAUUAAGGGUUCGUUUGUUCAACGAUU
This 549-nucleotide ribosomal RNA is filed under the name Pseudocheilinus hexataenia (sixline wrasse). RNAcentral's name for it is "partial large subunit ribosomal RNA". It matches the Rfam family "Bacterial large subunit ribosomal RNA", at positions 1846 to 2589 of the family's 2925-position model. Lineage: Eukaryota; Metazoa; Chordata; Actinopteri; Labriformes; Labridae. The record is from RNAcentral.